GCGGUACCCUGACCGUGCAAAGGUAGCAUAAUCAUUUGCCCCUUAAUUAGAGGCUAGUAUGAAUGGGUAAACGAAGGCUUAGCUGUCUCUUUUAUAUAAACAGAAAUUAAUAUAUAUGUGAAGAAGCAUAUAUCUUUAUGAAAGACAAGAAGACCCUAUCGAGCUUGACUUUAUAUUUUAAUUCAAUCAACGGAAAGUCAGACAUAUAAAACAAUAAAGUUUCGUUGGGGCGACGAGAGAAUAUAUAACACUUCUCUUAAUAACAAGAGUUACUACAUAUUUACUGACCCAUAAAAGAUUAAAGGAUAAAGCUACCGUAGGGAUAACAGGCUAAUCCUCUCGGAGAGCCCACAUUGAUGAGAGGGAUUGGCACCUCGAUGUUGGCUUAGAA
This 391-nucleotide ribosomal RNA is filed under the name Saccocirrus sp. 6 MDD-2013. RNAcentral's name for it is "partial 16S ribosomal RNA". It matches the Rfam family "Bacterial large subunit ribosomal RNA", at positions 1933 to 2542 of the family's 2925-position model. The record is from RNAcentral. Lineage: Eukaryota; Metazoa; Annelida; Polychaeta; Saccocirridae.